GGAGGGUUCGCAUAGCGGUCGAGUGCGCGACCUUGGAAAGGUCGUAUGGGGGAAACCCCAUCGAGGGUUCGAAUCCCUCACCCUCCG
RNAcentral lists this transfer RNA (87 nucleotides) under Candidatus Kaiserbacteria bacterium. RNAcentral describes it as "tRNA-Ser". It matches the Rfam family "tRNA". Rfam says of the family: Transfer RNA (tRNA) molecules are approximately 80 nucleotides in length. The record is from RNAcentral. Lineage: Bacteria; Candidatus Kaiseribacteriota.